This 206-nucleotide ribosomal RNA is filed under the name uncultured bacterium. RNAcentral's name for it is "partial 16S ribosomal RNA". It matches the Rfam family "Bacterial small subunit ribosomal RNA", at positions 568 to 774 of the family's 1533-position model. The record is from RNAcentral.
AGCGCAGGCGGGAGAACAAGUUGGAAGUGAAAUCCAUGGGCUCAACCCAUGAACUGCUUUCAAAACUGUUUUUCUUGAGUAGUGCAGAGGUAGGCGGAAUUCCCGGUGUAGCGGUGGAAUGCGUAGAUAUCGGGAGGAACACCAGUGGCGAAGGCGGCCUACUGGGCACCAACUGACGCUGAGGCUCGAAAGUGUGGUAGCAAACA